RNAcentral lists this non-coding RNA (24 nucleotides) under Arabidopsis thaliana (thale cress). Lineage: Eukaryota; Viridiplantae; Streptophyta; Magnoliopsida; Brassicales; Brassicaceae. The record is from RNAcentral.
AACUGCCGACUCAAUACCAAUUGA